This 301-nucleotide ribosomal RNA is filed under the name uncultured bacterium. RNAcentral describes it as "partial 16S ribosomal RNA". It matches the Rfam family "Bacterial small subunit ribosomal RNA", at positions 509 to 807 of the family's 1533-position model. The record is from RNAcentral.
CAGUAGCCACGGUAAUACGAGGGGGGCAAGCGUUGUUCGGAAUUAUUGGGCGUAAAGGGUGCGUAGGCGGUUUGGCAAGUUUGGUGUGAAAUCUUCGGGCUCAACUCGAAGUCUGCAUCGAAAACUGCCGGGCUUGAGUAUGGGAGAGGUGAGUGGAAUUUCCGGUGUAGCGGUGAAAUGCGUAGAUAUCGGAAGGAACACCUGUGGCGAAAGCGGCUCACUGGACCAUAACUGACGCUGAUGCACGAAAGCUAGGGGAGCAAACAGGAUUAGAUACCCGAGUAGUCCCUGUCUCUUAUAC